CUUCGGAGCAGGGGAGGACAGGUGGUGGCAUGGUUGUCGUCAGCUCGUGUCGUGAGAUGUUGGGUUAAGUCCCGCAACGAGCGCAACCCUCGACCUUAGCUGCCAGCAUUCAGUUGGGCACUCUAAGGUGACUGCCGGCUAAAAGUCGGAGGAAGGUGGGGAUGACGUCAAAUCAUCAUGCCCCUUAUGACCUGGGCUACACACGUGCUACAAUGGGCGGUACAAAGGGUCGCGAACCCGCGAGGGGGAGCCAAUCCCAAAAAGCCGCUCUCAGUUCGGAUUGCAGGCUGCAACUCGCCUGCAUGAAGCCGGAAUCGCUAGUAAUCGCGGAUCAGCAUGCCGCGGUGAAUACGUUCCCGGGCCUU
This 365-nucleotide ribosomal RNA is filed under the name uncultured Anoxybacillus sp. Its description in RNAcentral is "bacterial SSU rRNA". It matches the Rfam family "Bacterial small subunit ribosomal RNA", at positions 1017 to 1382 of the family's 1533-position model. Lineage: Bacteria; Bacillati; Bacillota; Bacilli; Caryophanales; Anoxybacillaceae. The record is from RNAcentral.